Molecule: long non-coding RNA, 3806 nt
Filed under: Cinara cedri
Lineage: Eukaryota; Metazoa; Arthropoda; Insecta; Hemiptera; Aphididae
Source: RNAcentral
GUUUAGUUAGUCAUAUACUAACUGAAAAUUCAUGCAAUGGCAUACACAGCAAUUUUUCUCAACAUUUAGCCUCCAAAACACCGUAUAGAUAUAUUGCCAAUUACAACACAACACCUGUUGAAUUUAAGGGUAAUUAUGAAAAAUAAUUAUUCAACAAUAUUAGAUAGGGUAUAUUAUUCAUCAUACCUAGAUAAAAAUAUAUUAUUUUGGUGAUUAGGAUGUUAUCCUUGGAAAAUUUGGCUAGUUCAAAGACAUGGUACAAGAACACCUGGAAAAGAAUUGGAUCAAUUUGUGAAAGAAAGGUUACCAGUAAUUCAACAAGAAAUCACAAACAAUUUAAUUAAGCAUGAAGGUAUAAAAUUUAAAUUUGUAUUUUUAUAUUAAUUUAAUUGUGGAUAACAAUUUUUUUUUUUUUUUAGUAUUGGUAGAUAGGUAUCAUAAAAAGUUCAAUAAAUAAGUAUAUAGAAAAAAAAAUUAUUUUGUUUAUUGGCGUUUCGCUAGGUGGGUUGCGCAAAAAUAAAACAAUCAUAUUUUAACACUUUUUAAUUAAAAAAUAAAAAUAUAAAAUAUAUUAUGACAUGUAAUUUUUGUUCAAAUUUUUUAUAAUUUCCACAUCAAAAUUAUUCUUGUGUCUGGUAGAGAUGAUUAAAACUGUUAAAUGUAAUUGAUGUAGGAUUGGUUUUAAUUUUUUUCAUACAAGAAAAGAUCUGUUCACAGACAAAUGUAGAUCUAAAUUUGUUGCAGCUAUAUUAUCUAAAUAUUGAAAAUGAUGGAGUUAGUUCAGCAAAAGAAAAUACGGACACUUCGCACAAUAGGUGGGCCACUGUUGUAGGUGAGAUAUUAGGAAAGUAGGAUAUAGAGAGGCACUUAAUGUAUUCUUAUAUGUAGCGAGUAAUCAUUGCUAAUAAAAACAAUUUUAAGCAGAGUUAUAUGUUUUAAAAUGCAUAAUUAUGACCUUUAUUCACUGAAAUUUUAUAAUAAAAUUUGUUUUAAAAAAAAUACUAAGUACAUUAAACUCAACUUUUCCUUGUUGGCCCUACUAAGUACAACUUAUAAUGAACCUUAUGUUAAAUAUUCAAACAUUUCUGUUUGGUCUAUCAAUUUUAUCCACAGAGUACCUACUGAAAAAAUAUUUUACGUAAAAACCUUGCAAAAUUAAAAUAUCUAUUAAUAACUUAAAAAUGGCUCAAAUGUUUUGAAAAUUUCACCAUGUUUAAAAAAAACCAAAUAAAAGGUUUCUAAACAAAUUUCAAGUCUCUACGUCUCUAAAUCUUUAACUGAAUUACAAUAAAAAACAAAAUUGAAAAUCAUGAAAGCAUUAUUUCCUACAUUUUCCCAGUUUUCCCCAAUUAUUUUUAAAACUGCUUGGAAAAUCUAAAAAUGACUUCCUUUAAGUAGCACCCCAGGAAAAUUUCUUUUCAAGAUUUCUGGUAAAAUUUUUGUACACAGUAAAAGAAAAAAAACCAUCAUUGUUAAACUAAUACAUUUCUCGCUUCGCUUAGAAUUUAAUACAAAGAUGAUUGAUUGAAUAAGUUUUUAAGAAUAUCUUGUGAUUGUAAAUCUAAUAUUUCAAUUUGAAACCCAAUAGUAACAUAUUGUCAAAAUAAAUAUUAAAUAGUAUGGCAUGUAAUUAAAAAUAUUGUGAACAUAAUUUGAAAUGUAGAAAAUAAUUAUUUAAUUAUUAAUUUGUAUUGAACUAUACCUAGUCUAGGUAUCUAGAAGUAAAUGCAUAUUACACACUUGUACUGAAAAGAGGAGUAUGAAAUAAAUAUUUGUGCCACUGUUUACCUAUUACCGGUCUAAAUUCAUAGAAAAUCCAAUCAUUUUAACACCCUUGUCUUAUUGAUUAAACCACUAAGUACUUACAAUAUUGUCUAAAUUGUAUCAUAUAUUGUUAUAUAAUCAAGUGAACCAAAAAUUUAACUGUGCAUUUUGAUUCUUAAACCUAAACCUUAAAAGUGCAAGUGGUGUAUGACAAAAUAAGCUUUCAAGAUACCUGUUUGUACAGUUUGGGAGAUUUUCCUAGAACCUUGUAUGGGAAAUUUUAAGCAAAGGUCAAGGUUUACUAGUGACAAAGAUUCUUUUGACCAAUUAUAGGUUUGCUUAUUAUAUUAGAACCCUAAGUUUAUAUAAUAUAUUCAUUAUUUUUUUUUACAAUUUUUGCACGCUAUAUUUAAUUCCAUUAUUAUGUUUAUCAUACAUUUUAUUUACAUACACUUUAAACUUAUACUAUAGGUACCAUGUAUACAUUUUUCAUUGUUACCUACAUUUUAUAUUAUAUAAUAAUAUGACACUUAUAAUUCAGAAUGUCUUAAUAUAGCAAAUAUAAAACUUUAUCUGUAAUCAUAUAAUGUAAUAUACUGUUGACCUUCUAUUAAAUUGUGUCUAUGCAUGUUAUUAUAUGUAUUAUAAAUUAUAAGACUGUAUAAGUCAAGAACAGUUAACUACUAUUUAUACAUAAUAUAUUGUGUUGAAUAAAUAAAUAUAUAUUAUAUUUAACUUAGUGAUAAAACAUUAAAAUAUAAAUGUAAGAUAAUAGUAAAAUAAUCACUUGUGUUUGUAUUUAGGUAAUUUAUGUAAUGCAGAUGAAAUUAAAUCAUGGAGUUGUCAUAAAGAAAUAGAUAAUCAAAAACGGUUGACUAAAGAAGGAGAGGAUGAACUUUUCGCUAUUGCUGAACGCAUGCAACUACGGUUUCCUCAAUUAUUAAAUCAACCAUUUGCAAAUACAAAUUAUUUGGUAAAUUAUGAUUGUUGUGUGAUCCAUAUGUAGGUGUUUUAUUUAUCAGCAUACUUAUCUAGUUUAGGUAUACUGAUACUCAAAGAACUAAAAUAAGUGCUCAACAAUUCGCUACUGGUCUGUUUGGACGUUAUGAAGUUAAGAAAGUAUCAUUUGAAAAACCAUUGGAUAAAGACCCUCUAUUAAGAGUGAGCUAAUUAAUAUUCUUAUCUUAAAUAAUUAAAAAAAAUAUUCAUAUGAUCAACUAUUAUUAAAAUAAAUAAUGUUAGUAAUAAAAUUAAUGGCAGAAAACAAUUAUUGUAGGAGAACAAAAAAAUUGGUUAUUAAUACUAACAUUAUUUACAAUAAAAAUUAAAAAUGGCACAAAUUACAAUUUAAAAGAAAAAAAAAUGGAAAAUAUCAGUUAUCCCUUGGUGGAAUAUUAUCAUAUAAAUUUGUGUUACCAAAGUUGCUUAGAUAUUUUUAAUUUAACUGGUAAAUAUUUGAUCUUCUGUGUUAUUGCUUGAAUUUCACAACAUUAUUUAAAUGGUUUUUAACUUACUUAACAUUAUUUUAUAAAUACUUAUAAAUUUUAAAUUUUUGUUUCACCCAAAGACAUUAAAACCUGGAUUGGUAGUGAUAUUACUAUUAUAGUUUAUGAUAUAUAUUAUUUAUUAACAUUGAUAUUAUGCAUUUGUAUUCAAUAUUAUACUAGAAUUUUUUAAUAAUUGCAAUUAUUUAUGUAAUAUUUCAAUAUUAUUAUUUUCUAGUUUUAUAAAGUUUGCCAAAAAUGGAGAAAAGAUGUUAAAAAGUCUUCUUUGGCAUCUAUUGAAUACCAAAAAUUUAUUGAAAAUCAAUUAACUGUUAAUACUUUAAAAAAAUUAUCUUCAAGACUUGGCCUAAAUUACACAUUAACAUUCAGUUAGUAUUAGUACUCGUUAUUCCCGUUGAUUUUGGAAAUAAAAUAAAUAUAAUUAUUUAUUUAAGAGGAUGCAAAGAAUAUAUAUGUAUACUGUGCUUUUGAAACCGCAUGGGAAAAAUAUAAAAUCUCUCCAUGGUGUUCAAUUUUUGAUAAAUCUGAUCUAAUGGU